Molecule: long non-coding RNA, 99 nt
Organism: Corapipo altera (White-ruffed manakin)
Lineage: Eukaryota; Metazoa; Chordata; Aves; Passeriformes; Pipridae
Exons: 4
Source: RefSeq, a predicted model, not a curated record
GCUAAUGGAUACAAAAAAUAUUCUCUCAUGUAGUCAUUUAUUGGGGUUUGGAAGCUGUUAAUUCACUUGUCUGUCAUUGGUUUCUGUGUUGCCAUAGUU